CCCAACUAACUUUAUUCAUACGAAAAGUGUGACAGCAAAAAUUAAAAAUAUCACACACUAACACACACAUGCAACCACACCCACACCCUACAUCAGAUUUCUAACCGAAAAAUUCGUCAGAAUACAAUUCCCCUGAUCCCCCUCCCCCACCACUUUACUUUUACAAGCCCCCAUCCUGAUCCUAUAUAAAUCCAAUCCUUGAAGCUUCAUACUAAUAUACUCUACACGCAAAGCAAAUUAAAACGCUAGAUUUCGAUUAUGUUGCAGCAGGUGGAAGCUUCCAAAGGGAUCGCAUUGAUCCGUUUUAUAAUUAUUAACUCAAUCUUUCUUAUUCGUAUCAUGAUAUAUAUAUAUAUAUAUAUAUAUAUAUAUAUAUAUAUAUAUAUAUAUAUAUAUAUAUAUAUAUAUAUAUAUAUAUAUAUAUAUAUAUAUAUAUAUCCCAUCCAUUGGAAGCAGUUUAAAGAUUUCGAUCCGAGUUUAUAAUUUGGAUCAUGCGAUCUCUUUGGAAGUUUCCGUCCGUGCAUGGUGUUUCAUGUUUCUCCUUCUUCCUACCUUCAAUUUGAUUCAAAGGUCAUCAUCGUUCCUCUCUCUCUCUCUAAAAAAAAUGUAAUACGUACAGGUUCGUUUUUCGUAGCUAUGAUUUACUUUUGAACAUGUUUGAUUGGAAAAAUUAUAUUCUGCAAAUAAAAAAAGUGAUCGAAAUUACGCUUAUAUAGAUCCAUUUUGCAUGAGCAAUUAAAUCAUAUUUUGCAGGCCGACCAACUGAUGCAGUUUUGAAACCCGAGAAACAUAAGAAAGCAUUCAUCAUAUAUAUAUGAAUGAAAAUAAAUAAAUACAUUUUAAAUUAUUUUUUAUUUUUUUUUACGUUUGUUCUGCUAAUGAAUUGUAAUUUACACGACCCGAAGGUAGAGAAUUUCAUGUUAUGAUGGUGCAGUUUUCUCGCACAUUUGAUGAUUAUUCCAUUCUAUCUGCUAAUUGACGUAUACAUUCAUGAUCGAUGCAUAUAUGAUCUGAUGAUAGGAACUUGAUUGUGUUUUUGCAACUUUUCUGCUCUUUGCAAAUUGCAAACGAUAUGUGCUUUCAAUUCCUUCCUAAAUUCCAGGUACCAGUGAGGAUCGCGGGAAGGCACCGGCUUGAUCAGUAUACACACAUGAGGAGUUUUAUUUGUUAUGAUCUUGGGAUGUGAUGUUAUGGAUUUUUAUGUGAUACAAUGACAUUUUAUAAAAAUUAUUAAUGAAAGCGUGUUUUUUAAAAUGUGAAAAAUUGUUUUGAAAUUUACGUCGUUACAAGUUGGUAUUAGAGUCUUGGUUUGAGGGAUUCGGGUGCAACUUCGGAUGUAUCUGAACUCAAACUGAGGAUUUGAGAAAGUUUUUCAUAAAUAAACAUUUUUUCUAAGAGAGUAAAAGAUUUUGGAAAAAGGCAGAACGGAGCAGUGUGUACGAUCAGUCAGCGCCCGAACGGUGAUUUCCCAAAAUAUCUUUACAUUAUGUGUUAUGAGAUAUGUUAUGAUAUGAUAUGCAUGCUAGAGUAGGCUAGGUAUUCAUAUUAGGACUAGAGUGGCCUGAUUUGUGAUGCCUUAGCCUAGGAAGAUUUCUGCUGCUUGAGAGUAAGUAGAUAACAGUGAGGAGCUUAUGAGAGAUCUGCCGAAGGGUAGUCUAUGAUAGCGAGGUGUAGAGUACUUGUGAUCUGGGAUCCAAGGAGGAGGACUUGGGGUGAAUACUGAUGCAGUGUGGGCGGUAGUAUAAGGGCCCGUACUACCAAAGACACCGUAUCAGUGCGCAGUCCAAGUAAGAAUCCUUAGGGUACUAGGGAAAAAGUAAGGAUGUCUAAUCGAGUGCAAGUAUGAUCGAGCGGGUCUCUGAUAUUCUAUGUUGUAUUUCAGAGAGACAUCACGGUUGGGACACGCCACACACCGGAGAGCAGUGGUGUUAGCAAGGAGGAGAUCCGCAGACUGAUUCAUGAGGAGGUGGCUGCUGCCAUCUGAGCUGAGGUUCCAGAGAUGUUUGGAUCUAUCAAGACCACAUUGAUUGAGACUUUCGAUGAGCGGUACGCAGCAGUGACUGAGGCUGCGGUUGCUGCAGCUACUGUCGUCGUUGCUGCUGCCAGGCCUCAGGGAGGUGACUCGUUGUUGUUUCGGGAGUUCAGCAACACGAAGCCACCAGAGUUUGAUGGGACAUAGGAUCCGAUCGCUGCGAUGAGAUGGAUUUUUGAUAUCGAGGGAUGCUUCUACACUUGUUCAUGUCCGGAGCAUCUAAGAGUACGGUUCGCACUAAACCAGCUUCGCUUGAGAGCGAAGGACUGGUGGAAGUUCAUGACGGCGAUCUUCACUCUUGCGAAGAUUUCUGAGGUGACCUGGGAGAGGUUCACCACCAUGUUCAGAGAUGAGUAUGUUCCCCCUGUGGAGAGGGAGCGGUUGGCUUAGGAGUUCUUGACCCUCAACCAGGAUACUGAUUCAGUUACUGUGAUUACCAGGAAGUUUCAUGAGAGGGCGAUGUUUUGCCCUGAGCAGGUGUCUACCGAGCAAGCACGCAUGAGCCGAUAUUUGAGCAUUCUGAGGAGGGAUAUUCGGGAGUUUGUAUCGAACUCGACUUAUUGGACAUUUGCUGAGCUUCAGGAAAAUGCCCGGAAGAGGGAGAUUGAGUUGGAGACAUAGGCCGGGGAAGAGGCCGAGUCUCAGGGGGUGGAUAGGCGGCCGACACAGUCGCAACCGGCAACCAAGCACGCAAAGCCCGCCGAUUCGAGAUCUGGAGGCCAGAAGGGCCGCACUUGCGGAAAGUGCGACAAAGGACACGAUGGGGUUUGUCGAUCUGGUGCUUGCUACAAAUGUGGCAAGGAGGGGCAUAUAGCCAAGAACUGCCCCAAGGGAUUCAUGGUUUGCUUCCAUUGCGACCAAACGGGCCAUAGGAAGGCCGAGUGCCCGCAGCUGCGAGGAACAGCACAGGGAGCACAACAGGGAUAUGCCCCUGCCGCCGUGCGUGCUGCUGAGGUUCCGCCGGUGAAGGCCGAGGCACCGAAGGCUCGCGGGAGAGCCUUCCAGUUGACAGCGGAGGAGGUCCAUGCAGCGCCUGAUGUCGUGGCUGGUACUUUUCUUGUGAAUUUUGUACCUGCUUUAGUGUUAUUUGACUCAGGUGCGAGUCGGUCAUUUGUUUCCUUGGCAUUUAGUCAGCACAUCAGUAUCCGAUGAGAGGCGUUGAGUCGACCUCUGCGAGUUUCUAUAGCUAACGAGCAAGCGGUGUAUGCUACGGAUGUGAUUCGAGGAUGUAUACUUGAGAUCUUCGGUGUGGAGUUCCCGAUAGAUCUGGUCCCGAUUGCGAUGGGGGACAUAUGUGUCAUACUGGGCAUGGAUUGGUUGAGCCGAUUUGGAGCUGUUAUAGACUGCGAGCGUCAGUUGGUGACGAUACGAGACCCUAGUGGGGGAGUACUUACGGUGUACGGUGAGGGUACCCGAUGUGGGUCAGCGUUUUGUUCGGCUGCCAGAGCGAGACAGAGUUUGCAGCAGGGCUGCAGCGGGUUCGUAGUUUAUGUGAUGGACACACGAGUGGCCGCUGAGAGGCCAAGUUUGAUUGAUGAGGUUCCGAUAGUGUGCGAGUUCCCAGAUGUUUUUCCCGAGGAAUUGCCGGGUGUGCCUCCCGAGAGGCAAGUAGUGUUCCGUAUCGAUUUGGUUCCGGGGGCAGCACCUAUCGCCAAGGCGCCAUAUCGCCUUGCGCCACCAGAGAUGCAUGAGUUAUCCUCGUAGCUUCAGGAGCUGCUGGGGAAAGGGUUUAUUAGACCGAGUAGCUCACCUUUGGGAGCGCCAAUCCUUUUUGUCAAGAAAAAGGAUGGUUCACACCGGUUGUGCAUUGAUUACCGUGAGUUGAACAAGUUGACGGUCAAGAACCGUUAUCCGUUACCGAGGAUCGACGAUCUGUUUGAUCAGUUGCAGGGGGCGGCUUGGUUCUCCAAGAUAGACUUGAGGUCGGGAUAUCAUCGGAUGAGGGUUCGAGGUGAUGAUAUCCAGAAGACGGCGUUCAGAACUCGUUAUGGGCAUUACGAGUUCGUUGUGAUGCCUUUUGGGCUCACCAAUGCAUCGGCAACGUUCAUGGAUCUCAUGAACAAGGUGUGCAGGCCGAUGCUGGAUCGGUCGGUGAUCGUGUUCAUUGAUGAUAUUUUGGUCUAUUCGAGAUCUAGAGAGCAGCACGAGGAGCAUCUGAGAGAGUUUCUCGGGAUAUUGAGAUCGGAGAGGCUUUUCUCCAAAUUCACCAAGUGUGAUCUUUGGUUAUGAGAGGUCUAGUUCUUGGGACACCUCGUUAACUAGGAUGGGAUAUUGGUCGAUCCGGCCAAGAUUGAGGCGGUUAUGAGAUGGGAGGUGCCGAGAUCACCCACCGAGAUUAGAGGUUUUCUAGGGUUGGCCGGCUAUUAUCGGAGAUGUAUCAGGGAUUUCUCCAAGAUUGUCGUGCCUCUCACCAGAUUGACCCGAAAGGGUGUUGCUUUUUCAUGGGGUCCGGAGCAGCAGACCUCGUUUGAGACACUUCGCUAGAGAUUGUGCGAAGCCCCGGUGCUAGCCCUCCCGGAAGGGAUGGAGGAUUUUGUGGUGUAUUGUGACGCGUCGAUAUCGGGGUUGGGUGUAGUACUUAUGCAAAGGGGGUAUGUGAUAGCAUAUGCAUCAAGGCAGUUGAAGCCUCAUGAGGCGAGGUAUUCCACCCAUGAUUUGGAGUUGGGGGCAAUGGUGUUCGCCCUUAAGAUCUGGCGUCACUAUUUGUAUGGGGUUCGGUGUACCAUCUACACGGACCAUAAGAGUUUGAAGUAUUUGAUGGACCAGCCCAAUCUGAAUAUGCGCCAGAGGAUAUGGCUAGAUGUGGUAAAGGAUUACGAUUGUGAGAUCCUGUACCACCCGGGCAAGGCUAAUGUCGUAGCUGAUGCCCUGAUUCGUAGGGCGGGGAGCGCCCCGAUUUGAGAUAUUUGCAUGCGGAUGACAGUGAUGACUCCGGUGUUGGACACCAUUCGGGAGGCCCAGGUAGUGGCUGUGAGACCGGAGAACCGGAAGAGGGAGCGAGUGAUCGGGCAUGUGUCGAAGUUCAUUACCGAUAGUCGUGGGCUGAUGACCCUUCAGGGUCGGAUUUGGGUGCCGUAUGCAGGCGGAGCGCGCACCACCUUAAUGGAGGAGGAUAAAUCGAGAUUUUCGAUCCAUCCCGGGGCCACUAAGAUGUAUUUGGAUUUGAAGAAGGAUUAUUGGUGGCCAUGUAUGAAGAUGGAUGUAGCAUGGUUUGUUGAGAGGUGCUUAACUUUUCGCAAGGUUAAGGCCAAGCACCAGCGACCACAUGGCCUUUUGCAGCCACUUGAGGUUCCCCAAUGGAAGUGGGAACAGAUUUCUAUGGAUUUCAUCACCAAGUUGUCGAGGACCACAAGGGGUGUUGACGCAAUUUGGGUGAUCGUCGACCGACUGAUGAAGAGCGCUCACUUCCUUGCUACCAGUGAGAGCUUUUCUGCUGAGAGGCUGGCAGAGUUGUAUGUGAGAGAGGUGGUAUCGCGGCAUGGAGUGCCGAUCUCGAUUAUAUCAGAUCGGGAUGUACGUUUUACUUCCAGGUUCUGGAAGAAGUUCUACGAGGAGUUGGGCAUGAGACUGCAUUUCAGUACCGCUUACCACCUACAGACGGAUGGACAGAGUGAGCGGACGAUUCAGACACUCGAAGACAUGCUUCAGGCAUGUGUGUUGGACUUCGGAGGAAAUGUAUAGCUAACGAGUCGGCAGUGGUACCGUUGGAGGAUAUCCAGGUGGACGCGAGUCUGAAUUAUGUUGAGAGGCCUAUCGCAAUCUUGGAUCAGAAGAUCAAGGUUCUGAGGAACAAGGAGGUGCCCCUGGUUGAGGUCCGGUGGCAGCAUCGGAGGGGGUCCGAGCUGACUUGGGAGCCGGAGUCGGAGAUGAGGGAGCAGCAUCCGGAGUUGUUUUCAGCAUGAGACUUCGAGGGCGAAGUCUGGUUCUAGUGGGGGAGAAUUGUAACAUCCCGAAAUUCAUGUAAAGCUAUUUAACCCUUCUCGUUUUCCCAAGUUGUCAAGUUAAGUCAUUUAAGUAAAUGUUAGGCUUGUGAGUACGUUGGGUGUACUGAGGAGUACGUUGCACGUACUCGCGUGCUUAUUUUGGAUACGGACUCGCCUAGGUACGUGGGCGUACCCAGGGUUACGCUGGGCGUAUCGAGCCCAGGUGAAAACCUUAAUUUGGGGCUUGUGCACUAUAAAAGGAAUUCUAUGGCCUUUACCUCAUCCUCCAUUCCAGAGAGUGAAACCCUAAAAGAGUGCCCUCCUUCGUUUCUAGCUAGAGUGUUGGUAUUCUAAGCUUCUAAGUGUCAUUUCAAGGUGAUGGAAGAGAAGAAGAGGCUAUUUUGGAGGCUAGAAGCUUGUGGGAAAGAAUAGAUCUGAGCUUUUCAGAGGUUGGAGCUUCUUCCUGAGGUAAAAAACUCAAAUCUUGUCUGGUUAUUUGUGUUGUGUGCUUCUUAGACCAAUUUCUAGGGUUUUUGGUCCCAAGAUGGAGACUUUAUGAGCAAAUGGUCUCCAUUGGCCUAGAUCUAUCAUAUUUCAGGACUAUAAGUGUUGUGUGUUCAUAAAAAUGCAAUCUUGGACGUAAAUAUGGAGCCAUGCAUGAGAUCUAAACCUUUGGAGGGAAAAAGGAAAGGUGUUAGAGGGUGUAGGGACCUUUACAGCCAUGCAAAGGCUUAAAGGUUCCGACUUUAUGGAAUAAGAGGUUGUAAGAGAGUCAUAUCUGGAAGUUGAAGGAGUGUCUUAACCGUUUAAGACCAAAAUCUAAGAAAUGGCUGAAUUGGGACUUACGCUUAGCGUAACUCUCAGUACGCGCAACGUAAGGGGUUGAGGCCCCGAUUGUGGUUCGUUGGCGUAGGCCCCGAUCGGAAGGUCUACCGGGAUUCGAGACGGAAGUCCCCUGAGACACUUGGACCGGAAGGUUCCACAGAGUUAUGGCCUGGAAAGGCGUAUGUGUUGUAUGUGGUAUUUUGGGGAACUCACUAAACAUUUAUGCUUACAGUGUUGUGUGAUGUGUUUCAGGUACCAGUGAGGAUCGCGGGAAGGCGCCGGCUUGAUCAGUACACACACAUGAGGAGUUUUAUAUGUUAUGAUCUUGGGAUGUGAUGUUAUGGAUUGUUAUGUGAUACAAUGACAUUUUAUAACAAUUAUGAAUGAAAGCGUGUUUUAAAAAUGUGAAAAAUUGUUUUGAAAUUUACGUCGUUACAUUAGACAACCAAUAGCCCUAGAAUAUUCAAGUUGAGACACUGGAGAUCCUUUAUUUAGUAAAAGCUUGAGACUAGGAUCUAUAGGUGUGCUAACAGGAGAACAAUUCUCAAAGUCAAACUUUUUCAAUAUCUUCUCAAUGUAAUGAGAUUAAGAAAUUGAAAUCCCAUUAUUUCCUUGUUUAAUUCUUAUACCAAGAAUUACCUUAGCCUCCCCCAGGUCUUUCAUUUCAAAACUGGAUGAUAAGAAUUUCUUGGUUUUAUUAACUUCUUCUAAAUCAGUACCAAAAACUAACAUAUCAUCCACAUAUAAACAAAUCAUGACUCUUUUACCAAAAGUAUCAAAUUUGCUAUAUACACACUUGUCAACUUGGUUUAAUGCAAAACCAUUAGACAAGACAACAUCAUCAAACUUUUGAUGCCAUUGUUUUGGUGCUUGUUUCAAACCAUAUAAUGAUUUCUUCAACUUGCACACUUUGUGUUCAUUUCCAGGCAUCACGAACCCUUCAGGUUGUUUCAUGUAUAUUUCCUCAUCCAAGUCACCAUUCAAGAAUGCAUUUUUCACAUCCAUUUGGUGAAUCACGAGAUUAUGUAUAGUUGCAAGAGCUAAUAAUAAUCUAAUAGUAGAAAUUCUGGCAACAGGAGCAUAAGUAUCAAAGAAAUCAAUGCCUUCCUUUUGUCUAAAGCCUUGGAUAACCAAUCCGGCUUUAUAUUUAUCAAUUGUGCCAUCCACCUUCAUUUUCCUUUUGAGGAUCCAUUUACAUCCUAAUGCCUUGCAACCAGGAGGUAAAUCAGCCAAUACCCAGGUAUUGUUAUGCAUAAUAGAAUCAAUCUCAUCAUGAAUUGCCUCUUUCCAGAAAUGAACAUCCCUAGAAGCGAUAGCUUCACUGAAAGUCUUUGGAUCCUCUUCAAUAUUAAAACAAUAUUGAUGUUGAGAAAUAGUUUCAUUCGUUAUUCCUUUAACUAAAUAUAGUUGAAAAUCAGAUCCAACAGAUUUAGCUUUUCUAGCUCUGGUGCUUUUCCAGUUCAGGUACAGAACUUGCACCACCAGAAACAUCUUCAGCUUGAGUAGUACUUUUGCUGGAAGAUUGAUGAAUCAUGUCCCUUGGUCUAGGUAUAGAUAUAAAUCUUUCUUCAUCAAAGAUAGCAUCUCGUGACUCUAUCACUGUGUUUACAGACAUAGAGUCAUUAGAUUCUAAAACAUAGAAUCUAUAUGCUUUGGAAUGCUCAGCAUAUCCAAUAAAGAUAUAAUCUAUACCUCUCUCACCCAAUGUUUUCCUUUUGGGUUCAGUGAGCCUUACAACUGCUCUACAACCCCAAACUUUGAGAUAACUCAAAUUUGGUACCUUUUUACACCAAAGUUCAUAAGGAGUACUCUUACUCCUUUUAUUUGGAGUGUAUUCAAGAUGUAACAUGCAGUUAACAUUGUCUCACCCCAAAACCCUUCACUUAAACUAGAAUAUGACAACAUGGAAUUAACCAUUUCUUUCAAAGUCCUAUUCUUCCUUUCAGCUACACCAUUUUGUUGUGGUGUAUAUAGAGAUGUGGUUUGAUGUAUUAUUACAGUUGAUUCAAAAUAAACUGGAUCAUAAUACUCACCGCCUCUAUCAGUACGCAAUACUUUUAUUAAUUCAUUUUCAUCAAGCUCAACUUGUUGUUUAUAAAUUUUAAAUUUAUCAAGUGUUUCAGCCUUAGAAUGUAGCAAAUAGAUAUAACAAUAUUUAGAUGCAUCAUUGAUAGCUUAUUUUAUUUCCUUAUUUUUAUUAGUUUAUUUUAGAUUUUUAGAUCUUUUUAUCAUUAAUGCAUUGUAAUUUAUUUAUUUUUCUUUAGUAUGGAUCAUACCGGGUGCUUAUUAUGUUGCAUGAGAUAUUUUAUAGGUUUUUUCGGUGCUUGUUGCGGUGGCGGGUUGAUUGGAGACGAGCUUAGUGGGAUCCCGAGACAUUAUUGGGCUUGGCGGAAUCAAAAAGGAAGAAUUGGGCUUUGAAAGUUAUUGGCUUGGAUUAUUUGGGCUUGUGAAGAUGGAUCAUAAAAUUCAAAUUUUGGGCUUGGAGCAUCCAUUUGGUGGCUAAAUGAUGAUUGGUGCAUUUCAAAUCACAUGGACAAGGAGGGGGACCAAAGGAAUCUUUGGUAGUGGAAGGGUGGAGUGGCUUGGUGGACCAAUAGCAUUACAGCAACAUUUGCGCGGGUAAAAUUUUCGUCGCGCGGGUGCCUGCGCAACUGCCCAGUUUGGGCAUUUUGGUCAUUUUUCUUGCCAUAACCCUUGGGGAUCAGAUCUAGAGGCGGAAUUCACGUUUUUCCACCAUUGGAGACCUGCGAGAAGCUAAUUCACGAUUUUCCACCAUUGGAGACCUGCAAGAGGCGAAUUUGGGAGCUAGAAAUCAUUUCCUUUCAUCUUUCCAAAUCUUAGGUAGUUUCUUUAUGCAAUUAGAUUAUUGUUCUUGUUACUUUGUUGCCAUGAGUGGCUAAUACUCUUAUUUGGUUGACUUUGGCUGAAAACCAAUGAAUGUUUGUGGGUUUUGAAGGAUUUAUGUUGAUUAUCAAUUUAUUCCAUGUUUAUGAUUCUAGUUUACAA
Non-coding RNA from Lactuca sativa (garden lettuce), 9786 nucleotides. Lineage: Eukaryota; Viridiplantae; Streptophyta; Magnoliopsida; Asterales; Asteraceae. The record is from RefSeq and is a predicted model, not a curated record.